Molecule: transfer RNA, 74 nt
Filed under: compost metagenome
Description: tRNA-Cys
Rfam family: tRNA
About the family: Transfer RNA (tRNA) molecules are approximately 80 nucleotides in length.
Source: RNAcentral
GGUGAGUUGGCCGAGCGGUUAGGCACAGCUCUGCAAAAGCUGCUAGAACGGUUCGACUCCGUUACUCACCUCCA